This 74-nucleotide transfer RNA is filed under the name Chloroflexota bacterium. RNAcentral's name for it is "Chloroflexi bacterium (mine drainage metagenome) tRNA-Val". It matches the Rfam family "tRNA". From Rfam's summary of the family: Transfer RNA (tRNA) molecules are approximately 80 nucleotides in length. Lineage: Bacteria; Bacillati; Chloroflexota. The record is from RNAcentral. RNAcentral also lists the same sequence under 2 other names.
GGCCUCCUAGCUCAGUUGGUUAGAGCGCACGGUUCACAUCCGUGAGGUCACAAGUUCGAGCCUUGUGGAGGCCA